UGAAUAUAUUAUAUCUCAGUAGAAGUAUAUAUGUCAGCCUGCUAUAUUAGUCUACUGGGUCAGUAAUUGUUCCAAUAACUAGUCUGAAUGGAAUAGAAUCCAUAUCAAGGGCAUCCUCUCUAUAUUAGAAUCCAAUUUUUUUAAAACUCAUAUUUUCUUUUGCUUGAACAGAACAAAAGAUCAUCUGUAGCUACCUUUCAGGAAGAAAAAAAAGCAGAAUUUUGGUGAAAAUCCUUCCAGUGCCUUCCACAUCUCAGCAUAAUAAGCCAUUCGGUACAGUUGAUGUAUGCAGUGUUGUAGCACUGUCAGCUCUAGGAUAUUAGAGAGACGAGGUGGGUGAAGUAAUAUCUUUUACUGGACCAACUUCUGUUGGUGAGAAAGACAAUCUUUUGAGCUUAUCCGGAGCUCUUUUCAGGUCUGGGAAAUGUACUCAGAGUGUCACAGCUAAAUACAAAGUUUAGCAUAAGUAGUU
RNAcentral lists this long non-coding RNA (472 nucleotides) under Chrysemys picta bellii (western painted turtle). RNAcentral's name for it is "lncRNA (ENSCPBG00000014520.1)". Lineage: Eukaryota; Metazoa; Chordata; Testudines; Emydidae. The record is from RNAcentral.